GGGCUGCUAGCUCAGUUAGGUAGAGCGCCAGGCUCUUAACUUGGUGGUCGCGGGUUCGAAUCCCGUGCAGCCCG
This 74-nucleotide transfer RNA is filed under the name Candidatus Freyarchaeota archaeon. Its description in RNAcentral is "tRNA-Lys". It matches the Rfam family "tRNA". From Rfam's summary of the family: Transfer RNA (tRNA) molecules are approximately 80 nucleotides in length. Their secondary structure includes four short double-helical elements and three loops (D, anti-codon, and T loops). Further hydrogen bonds mediate the characteristic L-shaped molecular structure. tRNAs have two regions of fundamental functional importance: the anti-codon, which is responsible for specific mRNA codon recognition, and the 3' end, to which the tRNAs corresponding amino acid is attached (by aminoacyl-tRNA synthetases). tRNAs cope with the degeneracy of the genetic code in two manners: having more than one tRNA (with a specific anti-codon) for a particular amino acid; and 'wobble' base-pairing, i.e. permitting non-standard base-pairing at the 3rd anti-codon position. RNAcentral also lists the same sequence under 2 other names. The record is from RNAcentral. Lineage: Archaea; Promethearchaeati; Candidatus Freyarchaeota.